Molecule: RNA transcript, 12088 nt
Organism: Mizuhopecten yessoensis (Yesso scallop)
Lineage: Eukaryota; Metazoa; Mollusca; Bivalvia; Pectinida; Pectinidae
Gene name: rho GTPase-activating protein 44-like
Exons: 19
Source: RefSeq, a predicted model, not a curated record
AAGAACAUGUCUGUCGCCUGUGGUAUGAAGUGAAAAUGACACUCUACAGAAAAUGCCGAUGAAAUACUGCAACCUCUGGUUUUAAGUUAAUUUUAUUCGUCGGAAGUGGACAAGAUAAAACAACACAAUGUUGAAGCGGGAGAAUCUGAGGAAGAAUUUCCUCCGUGUGAAGCAAAUGGCGGAUCAGAAUUUGGGAAGGGCUGAGAAGUCUGAAGUCCUCUCUGAAGAUCUGCAGACAAUUGAAAAGAGGGUGGAACUGGUAAAAACUGUGGUGCAGAUAACAUCUAAGAAAGUGGCGGGCAGUUUACAGUCCUCCGCUGGCAUGGACGUGGAGAAGCGACUGAGAAAAUUACCGGAAACAAAUUUGGCACAUAGUUUAAUUGAAAAUGCUAGUUUGCUGGGAAAAGAGUCAGUCAUGGGGAACAUGUUCCAGAUGUGUGGAGAGUGUGAGAGUAAUCUGGCGUCUAAUGCCCUUCAGUAUGAAAUAGAUGUGGAGGCCAAGGUGUUGGGACCACUACAGGACAUGUUUGAUAAUGAUCUACCUGGUAUUGUUAAGUGCAAAAAACAGCUGAGCAAAUUGACACUUGACAUGGAUUCUGCUAGGAGCAGAUGGAACACAGCUUUGAAAUCAACUCAAGUCCACGGAACAAAUAUGGCAUCUGCUUCUGCCAAAGCUGACACAAUCAGGGAGGAGUAUGAGGACACUGUGACAAGGAUGGGCCAAGCCAGAGACAAUCUGGCUACAGAAAUGUAUAACUUCAUUUCAAAAGAAGCAGAGCACAGUCAAAAACUGGUAGUGUUAAUGGAGGUCCAGGCAGAGUACCAUAGAAGGGCACUGGAGAUCGUCAAGAAGAUGUUACCCAAGAUGAAGGAAGCACUAGAAUGUAAUCCACACAAGCCUGUGUUUGGGACGACAUUGGACGAGCAUUUACGAGUAACGGGACGAGAUAUCGCCCUACCUAUAGAGGCCUGUGUGCUCACACUGUUAGAAACAGGCCUUGAUGAAGAGGGAUUAUUUAGAAUAGCAGGAAUGGCUUCUCGAGUGAAGAAAUUAAAAAAAUCUUUUGAUGCUGGUGUGAUCGAUAUGGAGGAUUACAGUAUGGACCCUCACUCUGUAGCAGGUGUAUUGAAACAGUUCCUUAGGGAGAUGGCUGAACCUCUACUGACUUACCAGCUGUACCAGGAAUUCCUACAAGCAGCACAGCUGCCCCAGGACCACAGACUGCAGGCUUUGUGGACUUCCAUACAUAACCUUCCUGCACACAACUACAAUAAUUUUAGGUAUCUUAUAAAGUUUCUGGCCCUUUUAGCUUCAAAGAGUGAUUUGAACAAGAUGACAUCAAGUAACAUAGCAAUUGUGAUAGGACCGAACCUGUUAUGGUCCGAGGGAGAUAAUGGGCCCAACAUGCUGACCAGUGGGACCAUCAGUAACCUGAUAGAGUCCAUCAUUUCUCAUGCCAGCUGGUUUUUCCCUGAAGCUAUAGAUUUUCAACAAACUACAAGGGGAACAGCUCCUCCCAGAAAACAGAAGAAUUCAGAAGAGACAAGCACUGAGCCUGUUACUGUGCCCCAGCGGUCGAACACACCCUCACAGUCCUCCGGGGGGAGGGGCUGUGACACUGCAUACAUGACCGCCUCAGGGGGGAUCUCCUCCCGGGGCUCUGACACUUCCUCCCAAGGCUGCCUGUCCAGUGGGGGCAGUAAUGAGGUGAUAGCUGAGAGUACCUCCCCCUCAUUUCACUCGGUUUCAAGUACGGAAGAUGACAUUGUUCAUAGCAACGACAUGAUGUGUCAAGGUGAAGGUUAUCAGACCGUGUAUGCUAGUGGUCGUAGACAAGUGGGUGCACUGCCACCACAGAGUAGCUUCUCCUCUGUUCGUUUGUAUACUAACCCACCAGCAUUACGAUUUAACCCACAGGAUAUAGCCAAGUCAUCGCCACGCUCCGACAGUAAUUCUAGUCGCUCCUCCACUCCCCCGACCCCAAAGUCGGGAGGCAGUGUUCACUCGGAUGUGUACAGCACUGUGUUCGCUUUACAUUCUUUGGGUGAUGGGAACAGUAAUAAGGGGCCUUCUGAGUACCUCAGCAAAGUGCGGGCAUUAUGGGAUGGCCACAUGCAGUACAACAAGCGCCCCCUAUCCACUGGUGGCAUAACUAACCCUAUCGGAGGUGGCAGCAGGGUAACUGAUUACCAGAGGCGUUCCCUUGGGCAAGAGGUGGACUUUGGUAACUAUGCACUGUAUGCCUCAAGCAAUGAGGGAGGUCUGUUGGAGGGUGCAGAACCUUCGUCGGACCAUGAGGGCUCCUUUUCCUCAGGAAACCAGGUGUCAAGUACGACUGGGAGUCAACAAGUUAGCCUGACAUCACUUCACUCUACGAACAUGAACACCAGCACAUCCCCCACGAGCAGUACAGAAGACACCACCUCUGUGGGCUUAGCCGCACCCUUAGCUGAGAGUGAACAAACCAGCCCCAAAAUCCAGCAGCGUGUGACAAGAAAGCCAGCCCCUCCUCCCCCACCUAACAGACCAUUCUCUGUGGCAGUAACAGCCUCAGUGGCCAAACCGGUCCAAUACCAGACUUGGCCUCGGCAAGGUGGGGGCACAGAGGCAGGGAGUCCUGGUGGGGAGGAGUCGACUGACCAAGUCAAGGCUCCCCCUGAGAGGCCAUCCUUUCCUCCAGAGAAACCAAGCCAUGCCCCGCACCGGUCAUCUACCAUAUCUCACAGUCACGCGGACCGCCCUUCGAUGCCCCCGCCAGAUCGACCAAAGGUACCACCCCCAGUGGCUCCCAUGCACCAGCGGUCAGCAUCAACAGGAAGUCCUAACUCAAUAUUAGUUACAACUCUAGGGGACAGCCCUUCCCCACAGAAUGGACAAGGUAGUUUGUCAUCCUCCAAAGCUGCACAAGACUUGACAUCAAUAGGUGAUCAUCCACAGAUAUCUACUUCACAGGGGCCCGGUCCCUUACUAACCUCCCAGUAUAACCAGCUUCCGCAGCCUGUAGAGCCAACGCCUAUCUCUAAUCGCUUGAGUUACCAAGGGUCUGCACGCCCUGUGCCUGCCCGCCCUUCUCCUCCACUCCCCAUGGCUUCCAAUGAAACGACUGAGGACACCAAACUCUAAGCAUUUGCCCUUGUUCCACUGACCUUGCCCUCUAUUAUUUCAGAGCACUGGUUAAAUAGCAUGACUAACUUUUUGAUUGUUGUUUUGGUCUUAACUUCGCAUCAAAAACAUUUUUUGCAUGUUGGUAUUGCUGCAUGUGGAGCCAGGCAGUGAUGAGGGGAGGGAGGAUGUGCCUCCUACUACAAGGUCAGACUGUCAGUUAGACCUCUGUUGGUAUGGCCAGUCUUGCCUGGUAAGGACGGCAAUGUAUAACAGCAUUUUACAGUAAAAAUUAACUUUACUAAAAGAAUGUUAGCACUUUUAGUAUUGUUCUGCUAAGAGUUGAUAAAAUCAGAGAGUGCAAGUCUGGUCUAAUAAGAGGAAUAGUAGAUAGUUAAUGCUAUACAUGUAAUUUGUAGUGUUACUGUCUCAGUACUCUCGCCGUGGUGUGGUAGACCGGUCAGUGUUGGUCAGUUUACUGUGCUAAGUUAGAGUUGUGACUUGUACCAUACAGUUACUGUGUUAUACAGGCAGUUAUCUCCCCUCACUCUCGCCGUGGUGUGAACACAGAUGAGACAAAGCGAAUUGUGAUACAGAUAAAUCAUUAGUGCUUACUUACUACAAUGUAAGGUGCUUAUGGUGUAUUAUUGUGGCUCAUAACCAAUUACAUAGUGUCUCACUACUGUCAGUUACUGUUUUACUAGUAUAAUCCUCUUAUUGUCAUAUAUCUACUAGGUGUACAGUAUAAUGUGACCUUAUAAACUAAUGGAUACAUAGUACUUUGUCAUCUUCGCUAACUUAAAUCAUAGUGCUUGUCUCUGUCUCAGUCCGUGAUAGGUGUAAAACAAAUCAAAAUGUCACCGUUAAUGAAUUGUUGAUAUGUCACUAUGGUAACAUCCUAACUAUUAUGAACAGGUGUUUUUUGUUUUAUACAUACAUAUAUAAUUUAUGUGAUAUUUUUCUAUAUCUGUAGCUUUCUUAGUUAUUGUUUUAGAUGUUUUAUUUCACCUCUUUUUCCCGUUCUGUUAGCCACUUACUCCUAAGGUCUCGGGACACAAUUACAGUAAUUGUGUGAUAAGCACAUUGUUAAUAGUCCUGUAGAAUUCUGACUGUUGCUUCUGCACUGUGAAUGUUGCUCAAACCUUUGACUUGAUACAGGUGUUUUUCUAGUGAUACAUUAGCUAUGUGAUUAGGUGUAUUUUCCUCGCUGCAUUUUACACAUUUCCCAUAUAGGUAUUUCUGAUGUUGUAAUUGUGAUAAAUGCAUCACAUUCUAUCAGAAAAAUCAAAAGUAUAGCACAUUUAUAGAAUCUUAAGAAUAUAUUUAUGAAAUAGAAAGAAUAUCUUUUAUGAAUAGAGUAUUAUAAUUUGUUUUGUUAUUAUAGAGCUCAAUGUUUCUUUACCUCAGUAUCGGCUACUUCUGUCCCAAUGUCUUAUCCUGGUGUGAUCUAUAUCAGAGUUGUCAAAGCUACAGAUUCACUCAUCAGUAAGGACAUACUGACGAAGGAAACGUUCCCACCAUGGUGUCCUGACUAUCUACCUUGAAAGCAGGAAUUGUUUUCAAAAAUGACACUCCAUAGCUUCGGUCUGCCUUACAUGGAGAUAGAUCUGUGAUCUUGGCCGCUGGUAGCCACCAUUUUGUUUGGCAUGUGAUAACCAUGUGACUGAAACCAUGUGAUCAGAUUGUAGCGAGCAAUGAACUGUUUGUGGGCAGAACUUUGAUUGUUUUUGUGGUGUGCAAUAUCUGUGAUGUCAUGUUAUAAACAUUAGGUCGUAUUCACAUACAGCAUAUUGGCACAAGGACUUGAAAAGGAAGCUAAACGAGGGGUUCCAUAUUUCAUAUGGGACCCCUGGAUAUUUCAAUAUCUUAUCACAUUUCAGUAUCUUAUAUCGGACACUUUUAACUCAUUAUCACUGUAGCCCGUUGGACUACCUUUGUAAGGUAUGAUCUACACUACAGACAGGUCACUCUGAAGGAGCGAGUAUUACCGGUAAACAUUUAGAUCUAGAAUAAAAUGUCCCGAUACAUACCGGUACAUAAAAAAAGUAUGAAAAAUGCUGUUGAAAUGGACUCAACUGCAUAUUUUUUGACUUUCCUAAAUUCUGUUGUUUACUGUGACAUGAAGUAAUACAAGUUCUGUGAGGCUAGCCCUGUGUUUAUGUGUACCUCGCAUGAUCAAUGUUUCCUGUGGUUUUUACUCAACACAUGUUUAUUUUAUAUUUUAUCACCAAGUUGAUAUACUUCUUCUGAAUUGGUUGGUAGGCAUGAACUGAAACAAAACUUGAAUGAACAAUUUAAAUCUAUCCCAACUAAUUACAGGGACAUAAUAUGAUUUACUAGUGGUAUAGAGUUGUAGGGUAAGGUUUUCUUUCAACCCUUGUGGUAUAGGGUUAUAGGUCAAUGUGAUCCUUCAACCUUGGUUUUCAGAUUUCAUUUAAUUAAUUCUACUAGGACCCUAGUGAUAUCAUUUGUAUCCUACGCCCCUAGAGUUAUACGGUUUAGGUUUAGGGGAUCCAUGACCUAGUGAUAUCAUUUAUAUCCUACGACCCUAGAGUUAUACGGUUUCGGUUUAGGGGAUCCAUGACCUAGUGAUAUAGGUUGUAUCCUACGACCCUAGAGUUAUACGGUUUAGGUUUAGGGGAUCCAUGACCUAGUGAUAUAGGUUGUAUCCUACGACCCUAGAUCUACAACCUUGGUGGAAUAAGGGUUUAGGUGAUCCUAGGACCCUAGCGAUGUAGGUUUAGGUGAUUCUACAACCUUGAUGGAAUAGGGGUUUAGGUGAUCCUACAACCUUGGUGGAAUAAGGGUUUAGGUGAUCCUACAACCUUGAUUGUUUAGGUGAUCCUAGGACCCUUAGAUAGUGAUAUAGGUUGAAGGUUUAGGUGAUUCUUCCAACCUAGUGGUAUAGGGUUGAAGGUUUAGGUGAUCUGAUGACCUUUGUUGUUUAGUGUUGUAGGAUUAGUUGAUCCUUCGAGCCUAAUUGUUAAUGUUAGUAGGUUUAAAUAAUCCUAUAAACCUGGUGUUGUAGGUUGUAGGUAUAGGUGAUCUUACCACCCUGUCACUCAGGAAUUGUGUUUUGUCCCUGUGUAAUAAUGAAUCUGAAUUUUGUUGAGUAUUAAGUGCUAAAAUGAAUGUGUAGAUAUUGUUUUGUUCUCAAGAGGAUAUAUAGAUAUGCUACCUGCACUGUACUAAAUAUAACAACUCCACACACACCCUCCCUGACUGGUAGCUGGGGCUUCUAACGGUACUGGACUCAACAAACUGCAUGUUACACCUUGAGGACAUACGGACGCCUUGUAACCCUUGACUGCCAUAUAACUAGCUAUUUAAGCAUCUACUUAAGGAGUUGUGUAAUGUUAAGUUUCUGUAAUAUAUGUCUGUGAGGUACAGUCAAACCUUGCAUUGCCACAAUGUCACAAGGGAACAUUUCGUUUAAUGGAGAUGGAAUGCUGUGAUGUACGUACAGCAGCAGUACCUGGUAGUUUCAUUUUGUUGAUAUUUAUCUGAAAAAGAAACACCCAAAUGGAAAUGGAAAAUCAGUUAAUUAAGAUUUGAAGUUGUUCUCUUUGGCACAUGCAGUCUAAAGGUGUUUCUUUUUUUUGUCUUUUUUUUUUUUAAUUCAGUGAUUGAACAGGUGAUGAUAAUAAUGAUCACUAUAACAGAUAACAGACCCCCAGACAGUGAAGGGUUACCAAGGAGACAUGAUACAAGGAACCUCUGGUGGGGUCCAGUUUAGGAACAUGUUGACAUUGUGUAUGUUGUGUGUGACUAGUGAUGGUACAUGUGAUGGUAUGAUAGUGUGUGUGACUUCAGUGACCAGUGUGUGAAGGGUAUACAAGAACCGUGUGACUGGUAUGGAAAAAUAACACUGCAAUACCAUUACCACAAUCAGAGGUGAAGAUCACUAACUUUGUAAUACAUUUGCUUGUACUGUAUAUGUUAUACUGAGAUAUCUUAUUUUGAAUUUCAAAUCAUUGCAAUAUUUUCCAUAUACAUGUAUUCAUGAACAUAUAAUUUUUUAUAAGAUUUUCAUUUGCAGUUAUCAGUUUCCUUUCCUAUUACAGUUAAAACAUUUGUCUUGUUAUAUAAUCAAUGUGUUCUUUCUCUACCCUGUGUUCAGGACCCUAAUACUGGGUAAGGUCAGUCAUUUAGUAAGUGAGACAUCGACAGGGAGGUAUAUUCAGUGAGUGUUUGUGCUUGGGUCUCUUAAAAUAUAAGACAUUGAAGUACAAUACCAUACUGAAAACCAGACUGCAAAUUUAGGUUUCAUAUAAUUAUUUGAUACAGAGCAGUCACAUCUGAUAAGAGAAAUCUUCUAAUAUCUUACCAAAAAAAUCAAAUGAUUAUUUACCCUUUCACCACUGUAGACUAUAAUAGACUCAUCCAGAUCAAUGCAUGGUAGAGUCUACUAAAGUUCCAAAGGGGUGAAAGGGUAAAGGUUCUUUUUAAAGUACUGACCUUAGAAUGAGACAAUUAGUGUCCAGAUAAUUUUUACGAAGAACUCUUUGUUUAUUGAUGUUAUAUAUAUUAAUGCUUGUUGUUGAUGUUGGACACUUAAUUUCAAACUUGUGAAUUUGUUGGAUUUGAGUAAUUUCAAAAGAUCAUUGAAGCUUUUAGAGAUGUGCCGAUAGAAUCAUGCAAUUGUUUUAUAUUCAUUCUUGUUAAACCGGUACUGCAAACUGCUGGCCACUAAAAUUGCUGUCAAUUAUAUUUAAGUGUUUAAUCCAUGUAGUCUUUAUUCAUUUUUUUUUUUGCAAUUACAUUACAUGUAAUUAUGUUUUUGUUAUUUGUUUUCAUAACAUAUUUAUCAUUAUUUUUUCAUUCAAAAUAACUGAGUAACGAUUAUGUACUUUGUACAGGAUACAUUUAACAUGAGUCAUGUUGAGUAACCAGUUUUGUAAGAUCAAUUACUGCUUGUACAGUGUUGGAGUAUAUUAUGAGAGUACAGGUGUAAUCUGGAAAGCUCAGUACAGUACAUAAAUGACUGCACACCAAGCAUUGUCAGUAGGAAUUGGUUUUUAAUGAACAAGUUUUGUAAAAACGAUCUUGUGCCAUUGCAUCAAUAAGUAUAAAAUGUUCCUUUGUAACGUUAGUCAUUAGCACUUGGCCAACGUGUGUAUCUAGGCCAUUUAACAUUGUUCCUAAGCAGUUUCUGACAUUAGCAGUGUCCGUGUAGGCUGACCUUUCUUGAAUAUCCUAAUAAUAUUUUGAGUGGGAAGAUGCCAUGGUCUAUAAGAUUAGCUGUCAAAUGUUUAUAUUCUACAGGAUUAGCUGUCAAAUGUUGUUAGAAAGUCAGGGAUUGGUUGUCCUAUGUAACACAGUCUAGGAUUGGUUGUCCUAUGUAACACAGUCUAGGAUUGGUUGUCCUAUGUAACACAGUCUAGGAUUGGUUGUCCUUUGUAACACAGUCUAGGAUUGGUUGUCCUAUGUAACACAGUCUAGGAUUGGUUGUCCUAUGUAACACAGUCUAGGAUUGGUUGUGAGAUGUUAGAUGGUCUAGGGUUGACUGUCAGAUAUUAAACACUCCAGGAUUGACAGUCAGAUGUGGUUAGUCCAGUAUUGGCUUCAUUUGCUAGACAGUCUAGGAUUGGCUACCGCAUAUAAGACAGUCCUGGACUUGUCAUGGUAAUUAUUAUAAGACAGUCAAUGAUUGAUUGUUGUAUGUAAGACAGUCAAUGAUUGGUUGUUGUAUGUAAGACAGUCAAUGAUUGGUUGUUGUAUGUAAGACAGUCAAUGAUUGGUUGAUGUGUGUAAGACAGCCCAGGAAUGGUUGUCAUAUGUAAGACAGUCAAUGAUUGGUUGAUGUAAGACAGCCCAGGAAUGGUUGUCAUAUCUAAGACAGUCAAUGAUUGGUUGAUGUAUGUAAGACAGUCAAUGAUUGGUUGAUGUAUGUAAGACAGUCCAGGAAUCAUUGUCGUAUGUAAGACAGUCAAGGAUUGGCUAUCACAUGUAUGAUAGUUCAGGACUGGUCAUGGUAUUGUAGGACAGACCAGGACUGGUCACAUGGUAUUGUAGGACAGUCCAGGACUGGUCAUGGUAUUGUAGGACAGCCCAGGACUGGUCAAGGUAUGAAAGACAGUCCAGGACUGGUCACAUGGUAUGUAAGAUAGUCCAGGACUGGCCAAGGUAUGUAAGAUAGCCCAGGACUGGUCAUGGUAUGUAGGACAGUCCAGGACUGGUCAAGGUAUGUAAGAUAGCACAAGACUGGUCAUGGUACGUAGGAUAGCCCAGGACUGGUCACAUGGUAUGUAGGACAGCCCAGGACUGGUCAAAUGGUAUGUAGGACAGCCCAGGACUUGUCAUGGUAUGUUAAAGACAGUCAAGGAUUUGGGUUUCCAUCAUCAUGGUGAACAGGUUUAUACACAAUAUCUCUGUGUAAAAAAUUACUGAUAGCCAAUUAAAUAUAAGACAUUCAAAGUCUGAUAUUUAAUUAAAUUAAGCUCCUUUAUAAUGACUGUCUCAAAUAUGGUAACAUCAAGCUAUGACAAAACUAGUGACCAAGGGCUAUUUGUGAAUGAGUGAUCUUUCCUAAUCAGUAACUAUUAUGCAUCUGUUUGUUGAUUGGAAUGAUUGACCAACAUGAAUUCAAUUCUUGAUUAGUAAAUCCUUUGUUUUGUAAUGCUUAUGCACUGACUGGCCACUAUAAUAAUAUAUUAGCUUACAGUCAUUAGAUGGUGGGCUGCAGAAUAUGCUUUUUAUCUUGGUCCUUAGUUUUGAGUGUUAAAUUUUGAGACUGAUAAAAAAAAGAAGAUGGCUGCAAUACAGACAUCGUUGAAUGUGACUUUUGAAGUCUGAUUAGCUAUUUCUCAGAAAUUGAAUUACAGAUUUUUUUCAAAUUUCACAAGAUUAGUUAAAAGGUUUAGCUUGUUCCCUUGUUCUGAAUAUGUUUUGUUCUGAGAUUUAAGUAGCUUAAUCAGAAGAAAAAUAUAACUACCAGAAAAAUCAGAGAACUCUCUUUUUACACAUCACUUAGUGAAUAUAUACUAUUACCACGUAAAUAAGUCAAACAACUACCUGACUUUAAGAGGACAUGCAGCGUCAAACAUAUCAAUAUGAAGUUGGCUCACAUUAGUUACAAGUUGCAUUGAUUGUUAAUAUGACUCAAUCCAGCAGAUAGAAAAAUAAACUUACAUAGGACCAAUGAAGAUCUUACAAAUGGUAGGUGUCAAGGAUAUGUCUCUCAGAAAGCAUGAAUAUCACGUUAUUAUACUGAAUUAAGUAUGUAAUCAAACUCAAUCUUCAUCAUUUAUAUCAACAUUGGAAUGUUCUGUAAUACUUAAAUCAAAUUAUGUAGUAUGGUCGUUCAGUUAUUAAACCAAAUAUGUAUAUCAUAAUUUCUCCAUCUGGGCUGUGUAACUUUAAGGCAUAUAUCACUCAGGUCAAGGUUGGUUGGUCGGAACAAAUCAGACAGGUUACAUAGGUUGUAAGACUUUGCUGUAGUCUUUCAUUUAGAGUGGAAAGUUUUUGGAGCUGAUUAUGGAAAACGAAAAGACACGGACUUGUAUCGUGAUGCCUGUAGGUAUUUCUAGCUUGUAUUGAGUAUAACGACUGCAUGUAUUUCUAGCUUGUGUUGAUUAUGAUGUCUGGGGGUGUUGACCAUGAUGCCUGGAGGUAUAUCUAGCUUGUGUUGGUCAUGAUGUCUGGGGGUGUUGACUAUGAUGCCUGGAGGUAUUUCUAGCUUGUGUUGAUCAUGAUGUCAGGGGGUGUUGACUAUGAUGCCUGGAGGUAUUUCUAGCUUGUGUUGAUUAUAAUGUCUGGGGGUGUUGACCAUGAUGCCUGGAGGUAUUUCUAGCUUGUGUUGAUCCUGAGGUCUGGAGAUGUUGACCAUGAUGCCUGGAGGUAUUUCUAGCUUGUGUUGAUCAUGAUGUCUGGGGGUGUUGACCAUGUUGUCUACCUAGCUUGUGAUCAUGAUAUCUCUAGAUUCUGUCAGUUAACAAUUAUAUAUGGUCCAACUUAUCCAACACAUGUACAAUGUAUGAGUGUUGAGUAGGUUUUUUUACCAUAUUUGAGACAAAGUAUUAUAUUAAAAAAAAAGAGUAAUAAAUUUGUACUGAUAUUCUCAUUAUUCAUUCUAAUCACACAAUGUUGCGGAUAUUUCUUUUUGACUGAUGAUGCAAUGUUACUGGGCACAUUAUGUCACAAUGCAUUGCUACAGAGAGUUUUUAUCCAUGGGCUAUUGUUAGCGCACCUUUUUAUAUCUCAAAGGGUAAAACAAUUGUUUCACAUCAAACAACAAGUAGGUAAGUAUGUUCAUCCUCACAAGUCAGGGACCCACAUAUAACACCAUCAUGCAGAGUUAGAUGUGGGACUCUUUAACUUAUGAGAAAUUUAUGGUGAAGCCAAAUUUUGUUUGCUGUCACUGUCAAUUAUUAAAGAAAAGGCUUGUAAAACAUGACUUUAACUAAUCGUUAAGAAAAAAGUGUUGUAGUGAUAUUGGUUUUGGCUAUUCUAAAAGCUGACAUGUUCAGUAGUGAAUAUAUUCAGAAUGUUAAACACAUCUUAUUUUGACAGGCCUGUGUAAUGCCAAUAAUUAAUUUGGUUUUUUUUGGUAAGCAGUGUUUUUCAUUUUUAUGCCUUGUCAACAUUCAUUAAAAUCAUUGUGUCAAUUAAGCAUAUGAACAAGCUAACUUGAGUAUGUACUAUUUCACUGAAGCCCUUUUAUGUUAUAAAGUAAUGUUACUGGGGACAUUUAGUGUUUUGUCUACCAGUAUUACCAGUUCUAAGAAUCAGUAUACAAAUGCAUGCAUUUCUGUAGAAGCAUUGUUUAUGUUUUUGUAAUCUUUUGUCAGUAGACUAAUGUUAUUAUGUAAUUUGUUAUUUUUAUGCCUUUUAUAAAGUAUGCUUUCAUCAUUCUUCAUUAUAUGUCUCCAACUACAAGCUUGACAUACUGGUAUAUAUGUACUAUCAAUCAAUAAGAUUAUUGAAAAAAUCACAUAUAGUGCAUUUUUCAAAGUGAAAAAUUAAAAAAAAUGUUUUAGAAUUAUA